UACACAAGCAGAGCAAUCCUUCUAAACCAU
Molecule: non-coding RNA, 30 nt
Filed under: Homo sapiens (human)
Lineage: Eukaryota; Metazoa; Chordata; Mammalia; Primates; Hominidae
Source: RNAcentral